This 468-nucleotide ribosomal RNA is filed under the name uncultured bacterium. RNAcentral's name for it is "partial 16S ribosomal RNA". It matches the Rfam family "Bacterial small subunit ribosomal RNA", at positions 28 to 507 of the family's 1533-position model. The record is from RNAcentral.
GACGAACGCUGGCGGCGUGCUUAACACAUGCAAGUCGAACGGAAAGGCCCUGCUUUUGUGGGGUGCUCGAGUGGCGAACGGGUGAGUAACACGUGAGUAACCUGCCCUUGACUUUGGGAUAACUUCAGGAAACUGGGGCUAAUACCGGAUAGGAGCUCCUGCUGCAUGGUGGGGGUUGGAAAGUUUCGGCGGUUGGGGAUGGACUCGCGGCUUAUCAGCUUGUUGGUGGGGUAGUGGCUUACCAAGGCUUUGACGGGUAGCCGGCCUGAGAGGGUGACCGGCCACAUUGGGACUGAGAUACGGCCCAGACUCCUACGGGAGGCAGCAGUGGGGAUUAUUGCACAAUGGGCGGAAGCCUGAUGCAGCAACGCCGCGUGCUGGAUGACGGCCUUCGGGUUGUAAACCGCUUUCGCCUGUGACGAAGCGUGAGUGACGGUAAUGUGUAAAGAAGCACCGGCUAACUACGUG